Triticum aestivum (bread wheat) is the source of this 136-nucleotide non-coding RNA. The record is from Rfam. NCBI's taxonomy places the organism in Eukaryota, Viridiplantae, Streptophyta, Magnoliopsida, Poales, Poaceae.
AUAGUACUCCCUCCGUCCCAAAAAUUUUUGUCUUAAAUUUGUCUAAAUACGGAUGUAUCAAGUCACGUUUUAGUAUUAGAUACAUUCAUAUCUAGACAAAUCUAAGAUAAGAAUUUUGAGACGGAUGGAGUAUCAU